Molecule: long non-coding RNA, 1015 nt
Organism: Scylla paramamosain (green mud crab)
Lineage: Eukaryota; Metazoa; Arthropoda; Malacostraca; Decapoda; Portunidae
Exons: 4
Source: RefSeq, a predicted model, not a curated record
UUUAGUGUCCCGUCUUCAGACUCAAGGAUUGCGGACGCUUGUGCUCUCGGCGCGCCAGGGGACAUUCCCCGUCGGCGCCUCCGUCACCGAUUCCUCCAGCAUCCCGGGGGGUAGUUGGAGAAUAUUACAGGACUAGAUAGUGUACAGCGAACUAGUUUGACAUCAGCAAGUGGAAGCGUCCCGAGUGCCACAGCAUCCGGCCGUGCGCGCAGCAGCGCACCGGUCCGAGGGGCGCCUGGGGCACCGGAAAACUCUACGUACCUGAGUGCCAUCCUUCAUCAACGAACCUCGACAGAGACCAGCGCUGAUCACUCCGACCAGUCUAGCCGGUGAACCAGAGCUACAGCGUCCCUCCUGCACAUCCCUGCCGGCGCCUCUGCCCAGGGAAGGCUGUGCAGUUGACGGCGGCGGACGGCUCGCUCACGUCACGGCCACCGCGGGAGCAACAUCAUCGAGGGAGAAGUACCCCAGUCUAGCCGGAAUUUGGAACUGGACGUCCAGAGAAUCAAUGGAAGAAGGAUUCUACCACUAUAGUGUAAUGACCAGUAAGGACUACAUCCCUUGAUUCUGCAGUGGCAUUACCAACUCCUCAAACCUUAAGGCAAUGGAUCUUAACAACCUGAGGGAAGACUGGGUCUUCCUGGAGACCAUCACAAGUUAGCUGGAAGACAACAAGGUGCUGUUCAGCCAGCAUCAUUGUACAUUUGGAUUGUGAGAUACAAAAUCCUAAUUACACCUAUGUUGAUGAUGGCACAUUCUUUGUGUGCCCCAGAAUGUUCCUAUCCACAUAACAUGACCAUCCCACAAAGAUACCAGGCAAGACAAAAUGCCCAUACCAAUAUUACUAUCUUCAGGUGUUGUCUGGUAUGGGAGACAGGUCCAGACAACUGAAACAAGGCCUCAGGAGCAGUGGUUCAACAAUAAUCCAUCUAGGCAGCAGCAGUCUGAAAGUGGAAGAGGACAGCUCAUAUAAACAUGUAUUAAGUAAGGAACAUAAUAAAAUUAAGAUGCUACU